ACCAAAUUUAAUUUAAUCUUGGUUGUAGGAUUUUGUCCCAAGGCAAAUCAUGCAUAUUCAGAGAGAUAUGGGCAUUGGACAAGUCAGAUACAGCAGCCAUGGAUUGUUACAGAUGUUGCAAAUCACCCCAAUUUGUCAUUUCUGACAUUCAGAGCUAGAACGUGACCACUUUCUUGUGUUAUAUUGUACCACCGGAGAUUGCAUGAUGGAUUGAGAUCACUGUCAUGUAGGUUAGUUUUCAAGGAU
Molecule: long non-coding RNA, 246 nt
Organism: Lacerta agilis (Sand lizard)
Lineage: Eukaryota; Metazoa; Chordata; Lepidosauria; Squamata; Lacertidae
Exons: 2
Source: RefSeq, a predicted model, not a curated record